RNAcentral lists this ribosomal RNA (1084 nucleotides) under uncultured bacterium. Its description in RNAcentral is "bacterial SSU rRNA". It matches the Rfam family "Bacterial small subunit ribosomal RNA", at positions 8 to 1105 of the family's 1533-position model. The record is from RNAcentral.
AGAGUUUGAUCAUGGCUCAGGAUGAACGCUGGCGGCGUGCUUAACACAUGCAAGUCGGACGGAAAGGCCACAGCUUGCUGUGGUACUCGAGUGGCGAACGGGUGAGUAACACGUGGGUGAUCUGCCCUGUACUUCGGGAUAAGCUUGGGAAACUGGGUCUAAUACCGGAUAUGACCACUUUUUGGAUGGGGUGGUGGAAAGCUUUUGCGGUAUGGGAUGAGCUCGCGGCCUAUCAGCUUGUUGGUGGGGUAAUGGCCUACCAAGGCGUCGACGGGUAGCCGGCCUGAGAGGGUGUACGGCCACAUUGGGACUGAGAUACGGCCCAGACUCCUACGGGAGGCAGCAGUGGGGAAUAUUGCACAAUGGGCGCAAGCCUGAUGCAGCGACGCCGCGUGGGGGAUGACGGCCUUCGGGUUGUAAACUCCUUUCGUCAGGGACGAAGCGUAAGUGACGGUACCUGGAUAAGAAGCACCGGCUAACUACGUGCCAGCAGCCGCGGUAAUACGUAGGGUGCGAGCGUUGUCCGGAAUUACUGGGCGUAAAGAGCUCGUAGGUGGUUUGUCGCGUCGUUUGUGUAAGUCCACGGCUUAACUGUGGGAUGGCAGGCGAUACGGGCAUAACUUGAGUGCUGUAGGGGAGACUGGAAUUCCUGGUGUAGCGGUGAAAUGCGCAGAUAUCAGGAGGAACACCGAUGGCGAAGGCAGGUCUCUGGGCAGUAACUGACGCUGAGGAGCGAAAGCAUGGGUAGCGAACAGGAUUAGAUACCCUGGUAGUCCAUGCCGUAAACGGUGGGCGCUAGGUGUGAGUCCCUUCCACGGGGUUCGUGCCGUAGCUAACGCAUUAAGCGCCCCGCCUGGGGAGUACGGCCGCAAGGCUAAAACUCAAAGGAAUUGACGGGGGCCCGCACAAGCGGCGGAGCAUGUGGAUUAAUUCGAUGCAACGCGAAGAACCUUACCUGGGCUUGACAUACACCAGAUCGGCGCAGAGAUGCGUUUUCCCUUGUGGUAGGUGUACAGGUGGUGCAUGGUUGUCGUCAGCUCGUGUCGUGAGAUGUUGGGUUAAGUCCCGCAACGAGCGCAACCCU